UAUGCACUCACUGAUAAAUGGAUAUUAGCC
Molecule: non-coding RNA, 30 nt
Filed under: Mus musculus (house mouse)
Lineage: Eukaryota; Metazoa; Chordata; Mammalia; Rodentia; Muridae
Source: RNAcentral